GUCGGUAAAACUCGUGCCAGCCACCGCGGUUAUACGAGAGGCCCGAGUUGAUAACACACGGCGUAAAGAGUGGUUAAAUCAAUAUAUAUAACUAAAGCCGAACAACUUCACUACUGUUAUACGUUUUCGAAGCCCUGAAGCUCUAUUACGAAAGUAGCUUUAACAAUGUUGACUCCACGAAAGCUAGGGAACAAACUGGGAUUAGAUACCCCACUAUG
This 218-nucleotide ribosomal RNA is filed under the name Enneanectes altivelis (lofty triplefin). RNAcentral describes it as "partial large subunit ribosomal RNA". The record is from RNAcentral. Lineage: Eukaryota; Metazoa; Chordata; Actinopteri; Blenniiformes; Tripterygiidae.